RNAcentral lists this ribosomal RNA (500 nucleotides) under uncultured bacterium. Its description in RNAcentral is "bacterial SSU rRNA". It matches the Rfam family "Bacterial small subunit ribosomal RNA", at positions 8 to 518 of the family's 1533-position model. The record is from RNAcentral.
AGAGUUUGAUCCUGGCUUAGGAUGAACGCUGGCGGCGUGCUUAACACAUGCAAGUCGAACGGAGCCAAGGAGUGCUUGCAUUCCUGAAGCUUAGUGGCGGACGGGUGAGUAACGCGUGGGGAAUCUGCCCCGUACCGGGGGAUAACACUUAGAAAUAGGUGCUAAUACCGCAUAAGCGCACACUGAGGCAUCUCAGCGUGUGAAAAACUCCGGUGGUACGGGGUGACCCCCGCGUCUGAUUAGCCAGUUGGCAGGGUAACGGCCUACCAAAGCGACGAUCAGUAGCCGGCCUGAGAGGGUGAACGGCCACAUUGGGACUGAGACACGGCCCAAACUCCUACGGGAGGCAGCAGUGGGGAAUAUUGCACAAUGGGCGAAAGCCUGAUGCAGCGAACGCCGCGUGAGUGAAGAAGUAUCUCGGUAUGUAAAGCUCUAUCAGCAGGGAAGCAAAUGACGGUACCUGACUAAGAAGCCCCGGCUAACUACGUGCCAGCAGCGGC